UCAUAUACAAAUUUAUAAUAAUUUAUAAAUAUUAAUCAUGUGGUUAAUUAUGAGUUUGGGCCGAAUCCAAUAUGGACCCAAAACUCAUAUUAAAUAAUAAGUCAAGGUUGAGUCUACUAAUCUAGGCCCGAACCCAAAAGUCCGAAAGCCCGAAAUCCUCAUUUAGUUUUGAGUUGACUUCAGGCUUGCCAAAAUUCAGUUGAUGAAACCUAAUUGAAACUCUGAGAAGAAUAAAUCACAACUGAUAAUCUUCUAAAUCACAACUGCCCCAAGCUCCAAUCUGAACGAGGAAAAUUGGGAAUUAGUGAGCUCCCACCCAAUCUUCACUCCCACUUAUCUGAGGGAAAGGACAUUGCGUGGACAUGGAACGAACCCAGGAGAAGUAGACUCAAGAGACAUCUUGGGAAUGCUACACAUGUGGACAACCAGUACCUAACUGAGCAUCACGAUGGAUCUGGAUCCAUUCAACAUGAAUGGACAAUUGCAAGGGAACCCAAAUCAUUUACAAAGGACCGAAGACGGAAGAAAUGGAGUGGAAGACCGUCAAUCAGCGAUUGGAGAAGGAAACGGAAUGGCCCUUCCAGAAACGGAAUUGGGUUCAAACAGACAUCAUCGAAGAAGAUGGGCAGGAGAGUCUCUUUCUCUAUCCCCUUAACCUUGGGAAUAGACUGGCGAGAAGAAGCCAGGAAGUUCAUUUUUCCCACACCCGGAGUCACAGGAACAGAACUAAAAAUCAAGAUAGACAGAGAAGAGGAGGCUCACCAUAUGGAUUUCAUAAUGAGAGCCUGGCCAAUAUUAGAGAGGUUCAGAGGCAUAGAAGAGAGUGGCCAGAUCGUGGAAUCAGGGGAGACGGACUCUCAGGCAGGUGAUGCAUACACCAGGGGUCAAUCUGCUCAAGAAGUUUAGCCAAAUGAAGAUUAUCACAUGGAAUGUGCGUGGUGCUGGUAGUACCACAUUCAGAAAUCACUUUUUGGAUAUCUGUGAUAUACAUCAACCGGCUAUAGUUACAGUGGCAGAAACUAAAAUAGGGGGACAAGCAGCUGCUAACAUGUGCGAAAGCCUACCUUUUCAUGGGUAUGAGAUUGUUGAUUCAGUUGGAAGGAAAGGUGGCCUAUGGCUUUUAUGGAACCAAAACGAUGUUCGGGUCAACAUUAUUAGUAAAACAGAGCAAGAAAUCCACGCUACAGUCCAGGUAUCAUCUGAUACCCCCUCUUGGCUUCUUUCUGCAGUUUAUGCUAGUCCAAAUUUUAGCAAUAGGAUGAUUUUGUGGGAUAAUCUGAAAUUUGUUGCAUCCCAGAACUCCCUCCCCUAGUUAUGCCUUGGUGAUUUUAAUGAAAAACUUUCCAAUGUGGAUAAGAGAGGAGGUAAACCCAUUAAUCAAAAUCAUGCUUCAAUAUUUCAGAAGUGUCUAGACUCUUGUGAUUUGUUAGACAUGGGGUUUUCUGGCCCAAAAUUCACUUGGCUUAACAAGCGUUUU
RNAcentral lists this long non-coding RNA (1477 nucleotides) under Coffea arabica (coffee). RNAcentral's name for it is "long non-coding RNA (CARA_LNC005507)". Lineage: Eukaryota; Viridiplantae; Streptophyta; Magnoliopsida; Gentianales; Rubiaceae. The record is from RNAcentral.